Long non-coding RNA from Solanum dulcamara, 223 nucleotides. RefSeq lists it as uncharacterized. NCBI's taxonomy places the organism in Eukaryota, Viridiplantae, Streptophyta, Magnoliopsida, Solanales, Solanaceae. The transcript has 3 exons. The record is from RefSeq and is a predicted model, not a curated record.
UCAACAAGAGGAUUCAAGAGAGUUCUAGAGAAAAAAGGAAGAGAACAAACUUGAAGAUAGAGAAAGAAUAGGUUCGGCCAAGGGAAAAAAAGCCCAAAACAUCACCGAACAGCCCCAAAGUUUUAGCCGCGCUAGGAGAGCUUCCGAGGCAAGUUUUGGAGAGUUUCGGUAAAGACUAACAAGUUGGAAGAAUAAGAAAAGCUAGUAAGGCGCGGUACAGGUA